GACGAACGCUGGCGGCGUGCCUAAUACAUGCAAGUAGAACGCUGAAGGAGGAGCUUGCUUCUCUGGAUGAGUUGCGAACGGGUGAGUAACGCGUAGGUAACCUGCCUGGUAGCGGGGGAUAACUAUUGGAAACGAUAGCUAAUACCGCAUAAGAGUAGAUGUUGCAUGACAUUUGCUUAAAAGGUGCAAUUGCACCACUACCAGAUGGACCUGCGUUGUAUUAGCUAGUUGGUGGGGUAACGGCUCACCAAGGCGACGAUACAUAGCCGACCUGAGAGGGUGAUCGGCCACACUGGGACUGAGACACGGCCCAGACUCCUACGGGAGGCAGCAGUAGGGAAUCUUCGGCAAUGGACGGAAGUCUGACCGAGCAACGCCGCGUGAGUGAAGAAGGUUUUCGGAUCGUAAAGCUCUGUUGUAAGAGAAGAACGAGUGUGAGAGUGGAAAGUUCACACUGUGACGGUAUCUUACCAGAAAGGGACGGCUAACUACGUG
This 495-nucleotide ribosomal RNA is filed under the name uncultured bacterium. RNAcentral's name for it is "partial 16S ribosomal RNA". It matches the Rfam family "Bacterial small subunit ribosomal RNA", at positions 28 to 507 of the family's 1533-position model. The record is from RNAcentral.